Molecule: ribosomal RNA, 484 nt
Filed under: uncultured bacterium
Lineage: Bacteria
Description: partial 16S ribosomal RNA
Rfam family: Bacterial small subunit ribosomal RNA
Source: RNAcentral
AUUGAACGCUGGCGGCAUGCUUUACACAUGCAAGUCGAACGGCAGCGCGGGCUUCGGCCUGGCGGCGAGUGGCGAACGGGUGAGUAAUGCAUCGGAACGUGCCCAGUAGUGGGGGAUAGCACGGCGAAAGCCGGAUUAAUACCGCAUACGACCUGAGGGUGCAAGCGGGGGACCGAAAGGCCUCGCGCUAUUGGAGCGGCCGAUGUCGGAUUAGCUAGUUGGUGGGGUAAAGGCUUACCAAGGCGACGAUCCGUAGCUGGUCUGAGAGGACGACCAGCCACACUGGGACUGAGACACGGCCCAGACUCCUACGGGAGGCAGCAGUGGGGAAUGUUGGACAAUGGGGGCAACCCUGAUCCAGCCAUGCCGCGUGCGGGAAGAAGGCCUUCGGGUUGUAAACCGCUUUUGUUCGGGAAGAAAUCCUCUGGGCUAAUACCCCGGGGGGAUGACGGUACCGGAAGAAUAAGCACCGGCUAACUACGUG